UACGGGGGGAGCAAGCGUUGUUCGGAUUUACUGGGCGUAAAGAGCGCGCAGGCGGUCGAUCAAGUCGCGUGUGAAAGCCCCCGGCUCAACUGGGGAGGGUCACGCGAUACUGAUCGACUCGAAGGCAGGAGAGGGUAGUGGAAUUCCAGGUGUAGCGGUGAAAUGCGUAGAUAUCUGGAGGAACACCGGUGGCGAAGGCGGCAUCCUGGACCAAUUCUGACGCUGAUGAGCGAAAGCCAGGGGAGCAAACGGG
This 253-nucleotide ribosomal RNA is filed under the name uncultured bacterium. Its description in RNAcentral is "partial 16S ribosomal RNA". It matches the Rfam family "Bacterial small subunit ribosomal RNA", at positions 524 to 776 of the family's 1533-position model. The record is from RNAcentral.